GCCUUCGUGGUGUAAUGGUCAGCACACUGAGCCGGUAUUUCAGAGGUCCGUGGUUCGAGCCCUGGCGAAGGCA
Molecule: transfer RNA, 73 nt
Filed under: Stegodyphus mimosarum
Lineage: Eukaryota; Metazoa; Arthropoda; Arachnida; Araneae; Eresidae
Rfam family: tRNA
About the family: Transfer RNA (tRNA) molecules are approximately 80 nucleotides in length.
Source: Rfam by way of RNAcentral